AAUAAACCAUAGUCUUUAGUAGGAUUUACAUAUUAAAAAACCCCAAGUUGCUCAUAAAAUAUGUAUCUUAUAUUUCUAUGGAAGUUUUUUUCCCCAAAUAAUUAAAGGGCAUGAAACCCACACAUUUUUUUUGUAGACUUGAGACAUAAACAGAAGGUGACUUAAGAACACUUAAUUGAAACUGUUUCUGAGUCAAGUCUUUGGGACCAUGUUACAUCUAGGUCCAGCUCAGCUUCUCCCUCAUAGGAAAUCAGAGUAUUGAAGUCUUUAUGGUUUGAAACAGGGAAGACAAACUCUCUUUCUAGCACUUGCAAAGUCUCUGUGCUUAAGAGAAUAAACUGCCUGAAAAUCGUCAUCUGUACAAAAGGACCUAAAUUAGAUAGAUUUUUAGCUGUGAUUAAAAGCAAUCCAGGACUAAGGAUGUAGCUCAGUGGUGCCACGCUUGCCUGGCAAGUGCAAGGUCCUGAGUUCAGUUCCCAGUACAAUAAAAUAAAAAGCAAUCCAGGGUCUGAGAUAUCCAUAGUUGCUAUCUGAAUCAAAGGAAGAGCUCCCUGGUGUCUUAGGAGAAAACCUACCACUGUGGUCCCAUCUGAGGCCUAUUAAAAGAGUCAGCACUUCUGGAGGUAUGACAGGCUAGGGAAAUAGUGGUGGCCCACUAAGUUGCCUCAAGUUGAGGACAGCCUUCUAGUCAGAUAUGGCAAGGAUUUGGUACAGGGCUAGUCAUGGAGGAAGAGAAGGGAAGAACCAAGAAAAAUACACAAAUGGGUUUGUUCUUUCCUCUAGGUCUUCUGUUAGUAAAGAGAAAACUCUAUACAAGGUAGUCAACAAUACAGACAACAUCAUUGACAAUAAAAAUUAUGGAUUACAAAAUACAUUAAUGUGUGCAGCAGUGACAGAGCAAAAGCAGAAGAGUACUAAGGACUCUAGGGGGAAAGUCCAUUUAGUAGCAGCAUUACAGCUGGGCAUCCUGAGACUGUCCUUGGGCUACAACAGAGCCGUGCACGUAUCUGGGAAACAAGCCCUGUAGCAGCUCUGGAGAAGCCAUUCCUCAAGGAGAGCUACCUGCUGCAAUACUCUCCAAAUGAACUUCCUGUAAGGACGGGCGCCUGUUUUGAGGUAGGGCAUUCCCAAAGUACCACCAAAUGUUGGUGAGUAUCACUGAAUGGUUCUCAAGUGGUUCACAGUUUGGACUUUUAUUUGGGGAAAGAAAUGGUCACAGUGACUGACAUUAAUGGGUAAAGGCAUGGGAGGUAAAUGAAUCCUACAAUAUGAUCAUAGUCUUUUCCCGUGAAGCGCUGUCACACCCAAAAGGCCAACAGUGCUAGUCCUUGAAAGAGACAUUAAGCUGUUGUCACCUGGUAUAGUAACAAAGAUAAAAACUUCAUUUGUCAUGUAUUUUUUCUGCUACAGAACAUGUCAGAUAAUUUCAGCAUAUUUUGCCAGAUACAAAGAAUAUUUAUAUUGCACAAAAAUAUUUCAGUGAAAACCCAGGAGAGUACAAAAUCAUGUAAUAACUGGUUUUCUAUAUGUUGGUUUGGUCAAGAAGCUGUUAUAGGUAAAUGGAAAGAAAUUACCGCAUCGAAUAGUUCUGAAAAGAAAAUCUGUAACUCUGAAGAUUGCUUAUAACCUAU
RNAcentral lists this long non-coding RNA (1631 nucleotides) under Heterocephalus glaber (naked mole-rat). RNAcentral's name for it is "lncRNA (ENSHGLG00100043916.1)". Lineage: Eukaryota; Metazoa; Chordata; Mammalia; Rodentia; Bathyergidae. The record is from RNAcentral.